AUGCAUAAAGCUUAAUCUUACAUUUUCUUUCUGAUUCUUGGAUUAUAGAGGAACUGAAAACUUUAUACUGCAAGCUUUGAGCAUUUUUUGAGUUUUCAAUGGUCGGUGUUUUAUCAGGUGUAACGCUUAUAUACCUCACUUUCCACAGUUGAAUCAUCUUUUUUUGGUUGGUAAUUUGAAUAAACAUUUGGAAUUCUUAG
Molecule: long non-coding RNA, 200 nt
Filed under: Solanum tuberosum (potato)
Lineage: Eukaryota; Viridiplantae; Streptophyta; Magnoliopsida; Solanales; Solanaceae
Description: long non-coding RNA (STUB_LNC000220)
Source: RNAcentral